UGGGGAAUUUUGGACAAUGGGGGCAACCCUGAUCCAGCCAUGCCGCGUGUCUGAAGAAGGCCUUCGGGUUGUAAAGGACUUUUGUCGGGGAGCAAAUCCUGCUUACGAAUACUGAGUGGGGAUGAGAGUACCUGAAGAAUAAGCACCGGCUAACUACGUGCCAGCAGCCGCGGUAAUACGUAGGGUGCAAGCGUUAAUCGGAAUUACUGGGCGUAAAGCGUGCGCAGGCGGUAGUGCAAGUCUGAUGUGAAAGCCCCGGGCUUAACCUGGGAACGGCAUUGGAGACUGCAUAACUAGAGUGCGUCAGAGGGGGGUAGAAUUCCACGUGUAGCAGUGAAAUGCGUAGAGAUGUGGAGGAAUACCGAUGGCGAAGGCAGCCCCCUGGGAUGACACUGACGCUCAUGCACGAAAGCGUGGGGAGCAAACAGG
Molecule: ribosomal RNA, 429 nt
Filed under: uncultured bacterium
Lineage: Bacteria
Description: bacterial SSU rRNA
Rfam family: Bacterial small subunit ribosomal RNA
Source: RNAcentral